GGGUUGUGAGGUUAAGCGACUAAGCGUACACGGUGGAUGCCCUGGCAGUCAGAGGCGAUGAAGGACGUGCUAAUCUGCGAUAAGCGUCGGUAAGGUGAUAUGAACCGUUAUAACCGGCGAUUUCCGAAUGGGGAAACCCAGUGUGAUUCGACACACUAUCAUUAACUGAAUCCAUAGGUUAAUGAGGCGAACCGGGGGAACUGAAACAUCUAAGUACCCCGAGGAAAAGAAAUCAACCGAGAUUCCCCCAGUAGCGGCGAGCGAACGGGGAGCAGCCCAGAGCCUGAAUCAGUGUGUGUGUUAGUGGAAGCGUCUGGAAAGGCGCGCGAUACAGGGUGACAGCCCCGUACACAAAAAUGCACAUGCUGUGAGCUCGAUGAGUAGGGCGGGACACGUGGUAUCCUGUCUGAAUAUGGGGGGACCAUCCUCCAAGGCUAAAUACUCCUGACUGACCGAUAGUGAACCAGUACCGUGAGGGAAAGGCGAAAAGAACCCCGGCGAGGGGAGUGAAAAAGAACCUGAAACCGUGUACGUACAAGCAGUGGGAGCCUCUUUAUGGGGUGACUGCGUACCUUUUGUAUAAUGGGUCAGCGACUUAUAUUCUGUAGCAAGGUUAACCGAAUAGGGGAGCCGAAGGGAAACCGAGUCUUAACUGGGCGUUAAGUUGCAGGGUAUAGACCCGAAACCCGGUGAUCUAGCCAUGGGCAGGUUGAAGGUUGGGUAACACUAACUGGAGGACCGAACCGACUAAUGUUGAAAAAUUAGCGGAUGACUUGUGGCUGGGGGUGAAAGGCCAAUCAAACCGGGAGAUAGCUGGUUCUCCCCGAAAGCUAUUUAGGUAGCGCCUCGUGAAUUCAUCUCCGGGGGUAGAGCACUGUUUCGGCAAGGGGGUCAUCCCGACUUACCAACCCGAUGCAAACUGCGAAUACCGGAGAAUGUUAUCACGGGAGACACACGGCGGGUGCUAACGUCCGUCGUGAAGAGGGAAACAACCCAGACCGCCAGCUAAGGUCCCAAAGUCAUGGUUAAGUGGGAAACGAUGUGGGAAGGCCCAGACAGCCAGGAUGUUGGCUUAGAAGCAGCCAUCAUUUAAAGAAAGCGUAAUAGCUCACUGGUCGAGUCGGCCUGCGCGGAAGAUGUAACGGGGCUAAACCAUGCACCGAAGCUGCGGCAGCGACGCUUAUGCGUUGUUGGGUAGGGGAGCGUUCUGUAAGCCUGUGAAGGUGGCCUGUGAGGGUUGCUGGAGGUAUCAGAAGUGCGAAUGCUGACAUAAGUAACGAUAAAGCGGGUGAAAAGCCCGCUCGCCGGAAGACCAAGGGUUCCUGUCCAACGUUAAUCGGGGCAGGGUGAGUCGACCCCUAAGGCGAGGCCGAAAGGCGUAGUCGAUGGGAAACAGGUUAAUAUUCCUGUACUUGGUGUUACUGCGAAGGGGGGACGGAGAAGGCUAUGUUGGCCGGGCGACGGUUGUCCCGGUUUAAGCGUGUAGGCUGGUUUUCCAGGCAAAUCCGGAAAAUCAAGGCCGAGGCGUGAUGACGAGGCACUACGGUGCUGAAGCAACAAAUGCCCUGCUUCCAGGAAAAGCCUCUAAGCAUCAGGUAACAUCAAAUCGUACCCCAAACCGACACAGGUGGUCAGGUAGAGAAUACCAAGGCGCUUGAGAGAACUCGGGUGAAGGAACUAGGCAAAAUGGUGCCGUAACUUCGGGAGAAGGCACGCUGAUAUGUAGGUGAAGCGACUUGCUCGUGGAGCUGAAAUCAGUCGAAGAUACCAGCUGGCUGCAACUGUUUAUUAAAAACACAGCACUGUGCAAACACGAAAGUGGACGUAUACGGUGUGACGCCUGCCCGGUGCCGGAAGGUUAAUUGAUGGGGUUAGCGGUAACGCGAAGCUCUUGAUCGAAGCCCCGGUAAACGGCGGCCGUAACUAUAACGGUCCUAAGGUAGCGAAAUUCCUUGUCGGGUAAGUUCCGACCUGCACGAAUGGCGUAAUGAUGGCCAGGCUGUCUCCACCCGAGACUCAGUGAAAUUGAACUCGCUGUGAAGAUGCAGUGUACCCGCGGCAAGACGGAAAGACCCCGUGAACCUUUACUAUAGCUUGACACUGAACAUUGAGCCUUGAUGUGUAGGAUAGGUGGGAGGCUUUGAAGUGUGGACGCCAGUCUGCAUGGAGCCGACCUUGAAAUACCACCCUUUAAUGUUUGAUGUUCUAACGUUGGCCCCUGAUCGGGGUUGCGGACAGUGUCUGGUGGGUAGUUUGACUGGGGCGGUCUCCUCCUAAAGAGUAACGGAGGAGCACGAAGGUUGGCUAAUCCUGGUCGGACAUCAGGAGGUUAGUGCAAUGGCAUAAGCCAGCUUGACUGCGAGCGUGACGGCGCGAGCAGGUGCGAAAGCAGGUCAUAGUGAUCCGGUGGUUCUGAAUGGAAGGGCCAUCGCUCAACGGAUAAAAGGUACUCCGGGGAUAACAGGCUGAUACCGCCCAAGAGUUCAUAUCGACGGCGGUGUUUGGCACCUCGAUGUCGGCUCAUCACAUCCUGGGGCUGAAGUAGGUCCCAAGGGUAUGGCUGUUCGCCAUUUAAAGUGGUACGCGAGCUGGGUUUAGAACGUCGUGAGACAGUUCGGUCCCUAUCUGCCGUGGGCGCUGGAGAACUGAGGGGGGCUGCUCCUAGUACGAGAGGACCGGAGUGGACGCAUCACUGGUGUUCGGGUUGUCAUGCCAAUGGCACUGCCCGGUAGCUAAAUGCGGAAGAGAUAAGUGCUGAAAGCAUCUAAGCACGAAACUUGCCCCGAGAUGAGUUCUCCCUGACCCUUUAAGGGUCCUGAAGGAACGUUGAAGACGACGACGUUGAUAGGCCGGGUGUGUAAGCGCAGCGAUGCGUUGAGCUAACCGGUACUAAUGAACCGUGAGGCUUAACCUUACAACGCCGAAG
Molecule: ribosomal RNA, 2926 nt
Filed under: Escherichia coli
Lineage: Bacteria; Pseudomonadati; Pseudomonadota; Gammaproteobacteria; Enterobacterales; Enterobacteriaceae
Description: bacterial LSU rRNA
Rfam family: Bacterial large subunit ribosomal RNA
Source: RNAcentral